GACGAACGCUGGCGGCGUGCUUAACACAUGCAAGUCGAGCGGUAAGGCCCUUUCGGGGUACGACGAGCGGCGAACGGGUAGGAGUAACAACGUGGGUGGACCUCGCCCUCCAGCUCUGGGAGUAAGACCUCGGGAAACCGGGGUACCGUAAUAACUGGAGUAUGACUCCACUGACGCAUGUUGGUUGGGGUGGGAAAGACCUUCGUUGCGGCGUGAGGAGUGGGCCCGGCCGGCCGUACUCAGCGUUGUUUGGGUUGGGGGU
RNAcentral lists this ribosomal RNA (262 nucleotides) under uncultured bacterium. Its description in RNAcentral is "partial 16S ribosomal RNA". The record is from RNAcentral.